This 298-nucleotide long non-coding RNA is filed under the name Brassica napus (rape). RNAcentral's name for it is "long non-coding RNA (BNAP_LNC009650)". Lineage: Eukaryota; Viridiplantae; Streptophyta; Magnoliopsida; Brassicales; Brassicaceae. The record is from RNAcentral.
AAUAUUUGGACGACUUACAUGUAAGUCGUCCAGCUAAAAUUAUUCACCAGACGACUUCCAUGGAAGUCGUCUAGACCCUAAACAAAACCUCUAAACUUAAUUAACUAACUAAACACUUCAUAAAUCAAAUUAAACUUCAAAAGUGUUUACUAUACACAAAAAUAAACACUUACAGGUAAAAAUUUAAUUUAAAAAAAAAAUUCAAGCUUUCUAAAAUCUAAUCCUAAGAAUACAUACAAUACUCCAACAUAUGUUGCCAAACCCUAGACCAAAGAAUACCAUAAUUCACUACCUACCC